RNAcentral lists this ribosomal RNA (376 nucleotides) under Aneurinibacillus migulanus. RNAcentral describes it as "bacterial SSU rRNA". It matches the Rfam family "Bacterial small subunit ribosomal RNA", at positions 1160 to 1533 of the family's 1533-position model. The record is from RNAcentral. Lineage: Bacteria; Bacillati; Bacillota; Bacilli; Caryophanales; Paenibacillaceae.
AAGACGGAGGAAGGUGGGGAUGACGUCAAAUCAUCAUGCCCCUUAUGUCCUGGGCUACACACGUGCUACAAUGGAUGGAACAACGGGCAGCCAACUCGCGAGAGUGCGCGAAUCCCUUAAAACCAUUCUCAGUUCGGAUUGCAGGCUGCAACUCGCCUGCAUGAAGCCGGAAUCGCUAGUAAUCGCGGAUCAGCAUGCCGCGGUGAAUACGUUCCCGGGUCUUGUACACACCGCCCGUCACACCACGAGAGUUUGCAACACCCGAAGUCGGUGAGGUAACCGCAAGGAGCCAGCCGCCGAAGGUGGGGCAGAUGAUUGGGGUGAAGUCGUAACAAGGUAUCCGUACCGGAAGGUGCGGAUGGAUCACCUCCUUUCU